CACGUGGGAACCUGCCCAAUGGUCUGGAAUAACCGCGGGAAACUGCGGCUAAUACCGGAUAAGCCCGAGAGGGGAAAGAUUUAUCGCCGAUGGAGGGGCCCGCGUCCGAUUAGGUAGUUGGUGAGGUAAUGGCCCACCAAGCCGACGAUCGGUAGCUGGUCUGAGAGGAUGAUCAGCCACACUGGGACUGAGAUACGGCCCAGACUCCUACGGGAGGCAGCAGUGGGGAAUAUUGGACAAUGGGGGCAACCCUGAUCCAGCAAUGCCGCGUGAGUGAUGAAGGCCUUAGGGUUGUAAAGC
RNAcentral lists this ribosomal RNA (300 nucleotides) under uncultured Rhodospirillaceae bacterium. RNAcentral's name for it is "bacterial SSU rRNA". It matches the Rfam family "Bacterial small subunit ribosomal RNA", at positions 114 to 431 of the family's 1533-position model. The record is from RNAcentral. Lineage: Bacteria; Pseudomonadati; Pseudomonadota; Alphaproteobacteria; Rhodospirillales; Rhodospirillaceae.